GAUGAUCUUCACUUCAUUUUUUGAGCAGUUCUUCAGCCUCUUUCAUCAGGAAGACAUGGUCCAAAUGAAGGCCCAAGUCAUCAGGAAGAGAGAGAGAGAGAGAGCAAGAGAGAGAGCCAAGGGUCUCAGUGACUGACAGUAGGCAGUGGUCUCUCACACUACAGCCUCUGGAGCAGUCACCAAGAGACCUUACUGAUGCUGAAAAGCAGGACGCUAUUCUCAGAGGGCCGGAGGACAUCGCAGCAGCUCUAAGAGACAUAAGUUCAAGUCUGAAGCAAUCACUGCAAAAUGUGAAAAACUAAAAAAAAAACAACAACAAACCCCCCCAUAAAAAUAAAGCUUACUAUGUGAAAUAAAUGGAUGGUGGAAUUACCUUCUGUUUAAGCUUUAUACCUGUGCUUUUCCAUGAUGAGGCUCCAAUGAACGCUAACCACAUACUAACUACGGACUUUGUUUAGGUCUCCUGAGCCUUUUGAGGAUCUGCAAGAGAGGGUGAAGCCAAGUCUUGAGUCAGUCCCUUCAGGACUUUGUGAUUUUUCCAAUCACAGAAACGAACAUAUAACCAGGCAAACUCUGCAAUAUCCAGAGGAGCUUGCAAUUUCUCAAAAUGUACUGCAGAUUUGUGCCAAGAUCCAUCUUGUGACAUCAUCACAAAGCAGAUUCAGCCCAAGCCUCUUCGAAUCAGGUGCGUUAAACAUGAGUAUAGCUAUCAUAGAAAGUAAUUACGUGUAUGUGUCUUAACUGGGAAUUUAAAAGAAGAAUUGUGUGCUCGCAGUUUUAUCAAUUCAAUUCAAUUUCUGAACAAAAAAAACUUGCUGCAGCAAAAUCAGUCAUGUUUAUACGUACUAGCAACCAGAGCCCACUCCACUAGCUAAUCUCAGACCCACAAAACUGUCCUGAAAAUCAUCCACUUUAUUCUUACCAGCUAUUGUGCAUCCACAUUAACAAUAUUGCACAAGAAUCACAAAAGUACAUAUUAACAGUGGCUUCUAU
Long non-coding RNA from Hemibagrus wyckioides, 993 nucleotides. RefSeq lists it as uncharacterized. NCBI's taxonomy places the organism in Eukaryota, Metazoa, Chordata, Actinopteri, Siluriformes, Bagridae. The record is from RefSeq and is a predicted model, not a curated record. The transcript is spliced from 4 exons.